ACGCUAGCGGGAGGCCUAACACAUGCGUGCCGAGCGGUAGAAGAUCUUCGGAUCUUUGAGAGCGGCGUACGGGUGCGGAACACGUGUGCAACCUGCCUUUAUCAGGGAGAUAGCCUUUCGAAAGGAAGAUUAAUAUCCCAUAAUAUUUUGAGUGGCAUCACUUAAAAUUGAAAGCUCCGGCGGAUAGAGAUGGGCACGCGCAAGAUUAGAUAGUUGGCGGGGUAACGGCCCACCAAGUCAAUGAUCUUUAGGGGGCCUGAGAGGGUGAUCCCCCACACUGGUACUGAGACACGGACCAGACUCCUGCGGGAGGCAGCAGUGAGGAAUAUUGGACAAUGGGUGAGAGCCUGAUCCAGCCAUCCCGCGUGAAGGACGACGGCCCUAUGGGUUGUAAACUUCUUUUGUAUAGGGAUAAACCUACCCUCGUGAGGGUAGCUGAAGGUACUAUACGAAUAAGCACCGGCUAACUCCGUGCCAGCAGCCGCGGUAAUACGGAGGGUGCAAGCGUUAUCCGGAUUUAUUGGGUUUAAAGGGUCCGUAGGCGGACUCGUAAGUCAGUGGUGAAAUCUCAUAGCUUAACUAUGAAACUGCCAUUGAUACUGCGGUCUUGAGUAAGGUAGAGGUAGCUGGAAUAAGUAGUGUAGCGGUGAAAUGCAUAGAUAUUACUUAGAACACCAAUUGCGAAGGCAGGUUACCAUGUCUUAACUGACGCUGAUGGACGAAAGCGUGGGGAGCGAAAC
RNAcentral lists this ribosomal RNA (740 nucleotides) under uncultured bacterium. RNAcentral's name for it is "bacterial SSU rRNA". It matches the Rfam family "Bacterial small subunit ribosomal RNA", at positions 33 to 774 of the family's 1533-position model. The record is from RNAcentral.